GAUACCAGCCUUCAAAAGUCAUACAUCCCAUUGUGUUUACACAUAUGGGGAUGUAUGACCUUGGAAGGCGCCAAAACAUGAGAAAGAAGCCCGUCAGGGCGGAUUUCGAAUGUUUUGAGGAUUUCGGGAGCGC
This 133-nucleotide small RNA is filed under the name uncultured Blautia sp. RNAcentral's name for it is "Clostridiales-1 RNA". It matches the Rfam family "Clostridiales-1 RNA", at positions 2 to 140 of the family's 166-position model. Lineage: Bacteria; Bacillati; Bacillota; Clostridia; Lachnospirales; Lachnospiraceae. The record is from RNAcentral.